Molecule: non-coding RNA, 170 nt
Filed under: uncultured Phocaeicola sp.
Lineage: Bacteria; Pseudomonadati; Bacteroidota; Bacteroidia; Bacteroidales; Bacteroidaceae
Source: RNAcentral
CUAUUCACAGGCUGAGGAUGAAAAGGGAAUCGGGUGAAAAUCCCGGACAGUCCCGCUGCUGUAAUCUCCAUAAAGAGGAUUGCUUGAUUAUCUCUUCUUACCACUGUCUGCGGUUAAUGCCAUGACGGGAAGGUAAAGCCAUCCGGAGUAAGUCAGAAGACCUGCAAAAC